GGAGAGGUAGCGAAGCUGGCCGUAACGCGCCCGACUCGAAAUCGGGUUGUCCCGGAGACGGGGCACGUGGGUUCGAAUCCCACCCUCUCCGCCA
This 94-nucleotide transfer RNA is filed under the name Desulfovibrio sp. Its description in RNAcentral is "tRNA-Ser". It matches the Rfam family "tRNA". From Rfam's summary of the family: Transfer RNA (tRNA) molecules are approximately 80 nucleotides in length. Their secondary structure includes four short double-helical elements and three loops (D, anti-codon, and T loops). The record is from RNAcentral. Lineage: Bacteria; Pseudomonadati; Thermodesulfobacteriota; Desulfovibrionia; Desulfovibrionales; Desulfovibrionaceae.